Molecule: ribosomal RNA, 460 nt
Filed under: uncultured bacterium
Lineage: Bacteria
Description: partial 16S ribosomal RNA
Rfam family: Bacterial small subunit ribosomal RNA
Source: RNAcentral
CUACGGGCCGCAGCAGUAAGGAAUAUUGCGCAAUGGAGGCAACUCUGACGCAGCCAUGCCGCGUGCAGGAAGAAGGCCUUAUGGGUCGUAAACUGCUUUUAUUUAGGAAUAAACCCCCGAACGUGUUCGGGGCUGAAGGUACUAAACGAAUAAGCACCGGCGUAACUCCGUGCCAGCAGCCGCGGUAAUACGGAGGGUGCAAGCGUUAUCCGGAUGUAUUGGGUUUAAAGGGUGCGCAGGCGGGCUAUUAAGUCAGUGGUGAAAUCCCGGGGCUCAACUCCGGAACUGCCCUUGAUACUGAGAGUCUAGAGUUUGGUUGAAGUGGGCGGAAUGUAGCAUGUAGCGGUGAAAUGCAUAGAUAUGCUACAGAACACCAAUCGCGAAGGCAGCUCACUAAGCCAAAACUGACGCUCAUGCACGAAAGCGUGGGGAUCAAACAGGAUUAGAUACCCCGGUAGUC